Long non-coding RNA from Xenia sp. Carnegie-2017, 575 nucleotides. RefSeq lists it as uncharacterized. The transcript has 3 exons. Lineage: Eukaryota; Metazoa; Cnidaria; Anthozoa; Malacalcyonacea; Xeniidae. The record is from RefSeq and is a predicted model, not a curated record.
AAUAUUUGUCCUGGUUUGGAGAAAUAUCUUUACUUUGAAUAUCAAUGUAACUACACAAGUAUGCCAUACAGAAAAAUUGCAAUCGCUCAGUAACAUGUGAAGGAAAAAGUAUAUCGGACGUUUGUUGUUCUAAUAAUCAAUAUAUGGUGAUAAAAGUUGCAGAAUAUCGUGGAUUGCGAAAAGGAAGCAUUUGUGGCUUCAGUUAUCACCACAUUUGUAGUGUCGAUGUAACCUGUGACCUUAAAAAUUACUGUGAUGGUGAAAGAGAAUGUAAUAUAACUGUUGAUGAUAAUCAUUUUCCUUCGAAUAUUUGUCCUGGUUUGGAGAAAUAUCUUUACUUUGAAUAUCAAUGUAACAACAAAAGUAUGGCAUACAGAAAAAUUUGCAAUCUUAUGGAUGUACGCCUGUCUAAGUCGAAUCUUCCGAACGAAGGUGUCGUGAAUGUUAUUACCAAGCUUCGAAACUUCACCAUUUGCAACAAAGGUCUUUUGCACAAAAUAAAGACGAUUAUUUGUAAACAACUUGGUUAUCCUACCGCAGUUUCUGUGGAAGGCUCAAUGUCACUAUCAUCUUUG